AAACAGACGAGAUGAUGAUUGGCACUGUUCAGUAGUCCUUUACGUUGGGUGAUCAUUAUUUCUCUGACAUUAUUAAAGUCAUUCUUGGGGCCGCCAUUCUUUGUAAGAUUCACACUAGCCCUUACUGCAGAAUGAACUUAAUCUUGACAAACUUUUAAAGCUAAUAUAAGGGAAUUCCAUCGAAAGUUUUAUAAAUUCCAUACAGUAUCAUGAGUGUGGAUACAUAAGAGACUAAAUCUGGGGAAAUGAAAACAUUGUAGAGGAUGCAUUCAAAUAAAGGGAAAAAGAUUAGUACUUACAGCUCUAAGAAUAAUUUACAGAAAAUGAAGACUUUUAAAAUGGAAGGAAAAGCAAAAAAGAUGGGCUGCCUGAACAAAGAAACACUGCGGAGAGAUAGGCAGAUGACAUGGGAAGAGAGAAUGAAUUUCUUGAUGCCAAAGAUGAACAUUGGAAUUCAAAAGGAUUUAUAUGAAGGUACAGA
This is a long non-coding RNA of Ostrea edulis (European flat oyster), 481 nucleotides long. RefSeq lists it as uncharacterized. Lineage: Eukaryota; Metazoa; Mollusca; Bivalvia; Ostreida; Ostreidae. The transcript has 4 exons. The record is from RefSeq and is a predicted model, not a curated record.